Salmo salar (Atlantic salmon) is the source of this 56-nucleotide non-coding RNA. NCBI's taxonomy places the organism in Eukaryota, Metazoa, Chordata, Actinopteri, Salmoniformes, Salmonidae. The record is from Rfam.
GCUCAGUUGGUAGAGCAUGGUGUUUGCAACACCAGGGUUGUGGGUUCGAUUCCCAC